RNAcentral lists this ribosomal RNA (449 nucleotides) under uncultured bacterium. RNAcentral's name for it is "partial 16S ribosomal RNA". It matches the Rfam family "Bacterial small subunit ribosomal RNA", at positions 29 to 523 of the family's 1533-position model. The record is from RNAcentral.
AACGAACGCUGGCGGCAUGCCUAACACAUGCAAGUCGAACGAGAUCUUCGGGUCUAGUGGCGCACGGGUGCGUAACGCGUGGGAAUCUGCCCUUUGGUUCGGAAUAACAGUUGGAAACGACUGCUAAUACCGGAUGAUGACGAAAGUCCAAAGAUUUAUCGCCAGAGGAUGAGCCCGCGUAGGAUUAGCUAGUUGGUGUGGUAAAGGCGCACCAAGGCGACGAUCCUUAGCUGGUCUGAGAGGAUGAUCAGCCACACUGGGACUGAGGCACGGCCCAGACGCCUCCGGGAGGCAGCAGUGGGGACUAUUGGAAAAUGGGCGAAAGCCUGAUCCAGCAAUGCCGCGUGAGUGAUGAAGGCCUUAGGGUUGUAAAGCUCUUUUACCCGGGAUGAUAAUGACAGUACCGGGAGAAUAAGCUCCGGCUAACUCCGUGCCAGCCGCCGCCGUAA